AGAUUGCAUCCAAAUAGGGCAUUUCAGACUCUUUUGUUGACCAUGAGGGCUAAUCCAUUUCUUCUAAGGGAUUCCUGCCCACAGUAGUAGAUAUAAUGGUCAUCUGAGUUAAAACCACCCAUUCCAACAAAAUAUGAAAA
Cervus elaphus (red deer) is the source of this 140-nucleotide long non-coding RNA. RefSeq lists it as uncharacterized. The transcript has 3 exons. The record is from RefSeq and is a predicted model, not a curated record. Lineage: Eukaryota; Metazoa; Chordata; Mammalia; Artiodactyla; Cervidae.